AUACGGAGGAUCCGAGCGUUAUCCGGAUUUAUUGGGUUUAAAGGGUGCGCAGGCGGCCAUUUAAGUCAGCGGUUAAAUCGUGGGGCUCAACCCCAUUCUGCCGUUGAUACUGGGUGGCUUGAUUGCGGUCGAGGUUGGCGGAAUUCGUUGUGGAGCGGGGAAAUGCAUAGAUAUGACGAAGAACACCGAUUGCGUAGGCAGCUGACCAGACCGCAAAUGACGCUCAUGCACGAAAGUGCGGGGAUCGAACAGGAUUAGAUACCCUGGCAGUCCGCACAGUAAACGAUGAAUACUUGUUUUCGGCGAUAUAAUGUCGGAGGCAAAGCGAAAGCGAUAAGUAUUCCACCUGGGGAGUACGCCGGCAACGGUGAAACUCAAAGGAAUUGACGGGG
RNAcentral lists this ribosomal RNA (392 nucleotides) under uncultured bacterium. Its description in RNAcentral is "partial 16S ribosomal RNA". It matches the Rfam family "Bacterial small subunit ribosomal RNA", at positions 523 to 918 of the family's 1533-position model. The record is from RNAcentral.